This is a long non-coding RNA of Zalophus californianus (California sea lion), 1051 nucleotides long. RefSeq lists it as uncharacterized. The transcript is spliced from 3 exons. The record is from RefSeq and is a predicted model, not a curated record. Lineage: Eukaryota; Metazoa; Chordata; Mammalia; Carnivora; Otariidae.
GGAAGCUUGCCUCCUUUCUCAGCUCGAGGGCUCCCUCCUCUGUUACUGCAGGGAUGUAUACUUUCUUUACCGUGCGGCGCCUCCUCUGAAUUUAGGAUCCCAACCUGGCUCAGGAGGGCUCCCACGACCGUCCUGCUCAUGGCCCUUCCCAGGCUGAGUCCUCUCCGGCGGGGGUUGAAUUUUCGCUGGGGACUGCUGGGACCUGCAUCUCCCCUGCCCCGCCAGGCCCCUGGGCAGUUUCGGGUCUCUCUUGUGAGCACGUUGGAGUGCGCUGUGCUGGUGCAGGGGUGAAGCCGCACACAGUAGGAAGCUUGUGACCGUUCUCACUUCCUCAUUUCACCGAAGAUGUCUUAGAGUCCAAGCCCUUCAUGGAGCCUCCCACAUCAAGUGAGAGAAUGCAUCUAAAACGUCCAGCAUUGUGUGCAGCGCAAAGCAGACUCUCAGCAGAACCACAGCCUUCGUGCCCCGAAUUCCUCAACUCAGAAGCGAUGGCUCCCUCCUUGGAGCUCCUUUAUCUCAUUUAAUCCAGUGGCAUCUACUUAGACUGUCACAUAUCGGAGUUAUUUGCGUUUCUCUUUUAAGUUUUCAGAUAUUGUAAAUGCCAGAAGCGAGCGCCCAGCACAGUGCAUUGUAGAAUAACCCACGGAAUGCAUAAAGAUCGGUCCUUUAGAGCUCACAGGGGGGCUGGGGGUCUGUUAGGAGCUAUAGGAGUCCUAGUGGUAAGUGAGUCCCGGGGCAGAUCCAGAGGAACCUGUAAAAGGGGGAAAGCUGAAUCAUACUUUUGCAGAACGUAGGGAUGAAUGCUGUUUGAAAAUCUAUUUAAGCCGUGACAGCCAGCCGUGGCUGAAAAAGAGCUGGGAUGACACCCCUGCCCAGACGUCUCUCUCCUUAGUAAAGACUGUUAACGUGUCCAGGCUCUGAGGGCUUGGAACUAGAAAGGAGGUGUGAGCAAUGGAAUAUUAUGCAGCCAUCAAAAGGAAUGAGAUCUUGCCAUUUGCAACGACGUGGAUGGAACUGGAGGGUGUUAUGCUGAGUGAAAUAAGUCAAUCAG